This 474-nucleotide ribosomal RNA is filed under the name Corynebacterium striatum. RNAcentral describes it as "partial 23S ribosomal RNA". It matches the Rfam family "Bacterial large subunit ribosomal RNA", at positions 178 to 614 of the family's 2925-position model. Lineage: Bacteria; Bacillati; Actinomycetota; Actinomycetes; Mycobacteriales; Corynebacteriaceae. The record is from RNAcentral.
GGGUUACGCGGGGAAGUGAAACAUCUCAGUACCCGUAGGAAGAGAAAAUGAUAAUGAUUCUGCUAGUAGUGGCGAACGAACGUGGAUGAGGCUAAACCGUGUGCAUGUGAUACCUGGUAGGGGUUGUGUGUGCGGUGUUGUGGGCCCUGAUGAGGAUGGCUACUGACGUCCUGCCCGCGCAUUGUUGUUAGGUGAAGUGGUGUGGAAACGCCUGCCGUAGAAGGUGAUAGUCCUGUAGCUGAAGAUGAUGGUGUGUGGGUUGUUGGGUUGCCCGAGUAGCAGCGGGCUCGUGGAAUCUGCUGUGAAUCUGCCGGGACCACCCGGUAAGCCUAAAUACUCAGUGUGACCGAUAGUGGAUAGUACCGUGAGGGAAUGGUGAAAAGUACCCCGGGAGGGGAGUGAAAUAGUUCCUGAAACCAUGUGCUUACAAUCCGUCAGAGCACUUUUUGUGUGUGAUGGCGUGCCUUUUGAAGA